GAUGAAGAACGCAGCGAAAUGCGAUAAGUAGUGUGAAUUGCAGAAUUCAGUGAAUCAUCGAAUCCUUGAACGCACAUUGCGCCCCAUGGUAUUCCGUGGGGCAUGCCUGUUCGAGCGUCAUUUACCCCCUCAAGCUCCGCUUGGUGUUGGGCGUCUGUCCCGCUUCGCGCGCGGACUCGCCCCAAAGGUAUUGGCAGCGGUCGUGCCAGCUUCUCGCGCAGCACAUUGCGCUUCUCGAGGCACCGGUGGGCCCGCGUCCAUCAAGCUCACCCCCCCAGUUUGACCUCGGAUCAGGUAGGGAUACCCGCUGAACUUAAGCAUAUCAAUAAGCGGAGGA
RNAcentral lists this unclassified non-coding RNA (337 nucleotides) under soil metagenome. RNAcentral's name for it is "partial contains 5.8S ribosomal RNA, internal transcribed spacer 2, and large subunit ribosomal RNA". The stretch from base 1 to 120 matches the Rfam family "5.8S ribosomal RNA", at positions 35 to 154 of the family's 154-position model. The record is from RNAcentral.